This 744-nucleotide ribosomal RNA is filed under the name uncultured cyanobacterium. RNAcentral's name for it is "bacterial SSU rRNA". It matches the Rfam family "Bacterial small subunit ribosomal RNA", at positions 8 to 796 of the family's 1533-position model. The record is from RNAcentral. Lineage: Bacteria; Bacillati; Cyanobacteriota.
AGAGUUUGAUCAUGGCUCAGGAUGAACGCUGGCGGUCUGCUUAACACAUGCAAGUCGAACGGAGUAGAAAUACUUAGUGGCGGACGGGUGAGUAACGCGUGAGAAUCUGCCUUUUGGUCGGGGACAACCACUGGAAACGGUGGCUAAUACCGGAUAAGCCUGCGGGUAAAAGAUUAAUUGCCAAGAGAAGAGCUCGCGUCUGAUUAGCUAGUUGGUGAGGUAAAGGCUCACCAAGGCGGCGAUCAGUAGCUGGUCUGAGAGGAUGAUCAGCCACACUGGGACUGAGACACGGCCCAGACUCCUACGGGAGGCAGCAGUGGGGAAUUUUCCGCAAUGGGCGAAAGCCUGACGGAGCAAGACCGCGUGAGGGAGGAAGGCUCUUGGGUUGUAAACCUCUUUUGUCAGGGAAGAACACAAUGACGGUACCUGAAGAAUCAGCAUCGGCUAACUCCGUGCCAGCAGCCGCGGUAAUACGGAGGAUGCAAGCGUUAUCCGGAAUUAUUGGGCGUAAAGCGUCCGCAGGUGGCACUUCAAGUCUGCUGUCAAAGACCGGGGCUUAACCCUGGAAAGGCAGUGGAAACUGAAGCGCUAGAGUGUGGCAGGGGUAGAGGGAAUUCCCGGUGUAGCGGUGAAAUGCGUAGAGAUCGGGAAGAACAUCGGUGGCGAAAGCGCUCUACUGGGCCACAACUGACACUCAGGGACGAAAGCUAGGGGAGCGAAUGGGAUUAGAUACCCCAGUAGUCC